RNAcentral lists this ribosomal RNA (342 nucleotides) under Aphelenchus avenae. Its description in RNAcentral is "SSU rRNA". It matches the Rfam family "Eukaryotic small subunit ribosomal RNA", at positions 608 to 945 of the family's 1831-position model. The record is from RNAcentral. Lineage: Eukaryota; Metazoa; Nematoda; Chromadorea; Rhabditida; Aphelenchidae.
AAAAUGCAUAGACUUAUUGCUGCGGUUAAAAAGCUCGUAGUUGGAUCUGUGCUGGGAACUGGGUCCUCCUUCGGGUGUGCACUCAGCUUCCCGGCUUUUUGCUGGUUUUCCCGUUGUGGCCUUUACCGGUUGCAGCGGGUGGCUGGCGAGUUUACCUUGAAGAAAUCAAAGUGCUUAAUACAGGCGAUUUGCUUGAAUGUGGUGCAUGGAAUAAUAGAAAAGGAUUUCGGUUCUCUUUUAUUGGUUUUACGAGCUGAGAUAAUGGUUAACAGAGACAAACGGGGGCAUUCGUAUCGGUGCGUGAGAGGUGAAAUUCUUGGACCGCAGCGAGACGAACUACAG